UACGUAGGUGACAAGCGUUGUCCGGAUUUACUGGGCGUAAAGAGCGCGCAGGCGGUCGUUCAAGUCGAGUGUGAAAGCCCACGGCUCAACCGUGGAGGGUCAUUGGAAACUGGGGGACUUGAGUGCAGAAGAGGAAAGCGGAAUUCCACGUGUAGCGGUGAAAUGCGUAGAGAUGUGGAGGAACACCAGUGGCGAAGGCGGCUUCCUGGUCUGUAACUGACGCUGAGGCGCGAAAGCGUGGGGAGCAAACAGG
Molecule: ribosomal RNA, 253 nt
Filed under: uncultured bacterium
Lineage: Bacteria
Description: partial 16S ribosomal RNA
Rfam family: Bacterial small subunit ribosomal RNA
Source: RNAcentral